Anas platyrhynchos (mallard) is the source of this 6417-nucleotide non-coding RNA. NCBI's taxonomy places the organism in Eukaryota, Metazoa, Chordata, Aves, Anseriformes, Anatidae. The record is from RefSeq and is a predicted model, not a curated record.
UCCAGCAGCUAAGGCCAGAUUUCUGAAACAUGUGCUGGUCUUUUUACCAGUUCAGGAGCCAGCAGCUGAAUUCUGCUGUUGAACCAGUGGAAGUCCGAGUAACUGUUGAUUCAAGAGCAAGAUUUGUCUUUAUCUUAGCCUCUAAUUUCAAUACAAAUGUUACAUGGUAAAAACUAACAAAAGAACUUCAGAAACUCCCUUGAUCUAAUUGUGGUACCGACGCUGAUGUUUUAUGGUGAUGGGGAAAAAGGGAAUGUUAAAAUUUCCUGAAUAUACAUGUAUUAGUGGAGAGUAGAAAGAAUAUAGCCGUAUCAGUGCAGCUUGCUUAGUGUAAAAUCAUAAUCAGUUACUACUUGGCACUCAGAUUGCUGCUGUGUAUCAAAAUGAUGUUACCUAGGUCCCGUCCUUGGCUUUAGUUUUGUACCUUUGCUUUGUUACUGCAAGCUUCCAACUGAAUUUGUGUGGCUGGCAUGUAAGAGCACUCCUACUAGUUCUUUGCGUUUAACCAGCAGGAAACAGCAGAAUGGGAGGUUAGCAAGACAAGUGGCCCACAGAAGGGAAGGAAUAUUGAAGUAUGUGAUAGCAGGAGAAAUGUAAAUUUUAAUUUCUGCCUGUUGGUGUCGAAUCAAAGAAUCAAAUUGUCCCUGGUAGCCUCUAGGAGAUUAAAGUUACCUGUAGUUUCUAAGCACUGCAGAGUCUGUACGUUAGAACAAGAUAAAUGCAGUUCUUUUUCAACAGCUAUCCGUAAGUGUGUAUAAAGAGAAGGUUUGAUCUAUGAUGGCUUUACAGCAACCGACUUUUAUAUGCAAGAUUUUUAAUGGCAGGUUAAAGGUGGUUGUACUUGGGUAACUUCUUCAUUCUCUCUAUAGGCCUGACUCUUGUCUUCUCUUUGCUUUCAAAUCACUUGAGGCUUUUAAUGUUUGCAAACUCAGGAGGAGGUCCAAUUUUACAAGCAGUUUUAAGUACAGUAGUUAAGUUUUAUGUCCAAAAAUGAUGGAAAAAUAACAAUUUUUACCUCAUUGUAGAAUGCUCAGAAAGUUUUCUUAUCCUUUCCUACUUGUAGCUUUACGAGGAUCAGCUCAUCAAAAUUAUUUGCAAGCUAUAAGAUAUGAAAGAUGGUACCUGUUAAAUGGAGGCUAAUUGUCUGUAUGAACUUACUGAGAAUGUACAGUUUUAUGCUAUCCCAUCACUGGUCUGACAGUGUUGCGAUCUGGUGCUCUUGAAGCUGAAUUUCACCCUUCUGAAAGCGUUACGAGUUUCAUGUUCUCAUCAUGCACUUUCUCACCCAUGAACAGCAUACAAUAAGAAAGGACCAGAACCUUUAGAGGCACUUCUUGCUUGGUGUUCACAUAAAUUGCCUUUUCCUAUUUGCUGACUACAACUUCUGGACUUUGUCCUCAGCUACCAGUGAGUGAUGCUGAGCACGUGACAGUGACGUUUCAUUUGAAAGAACAACCAAGAUAUGACAAGCCUUCAUGACCUGAAUACUGGGGUAAAAAUGGGAUUAUUUUCAGUAUCUAUUACACGAUACUUCAAAAUUGUUGCAUAAGAGGAACUGAUAAAGUUGGCUGCAGUUUAUUGUUGCUGGAAGUUUGAGAACUAAGGAUGAAAUUCUUGCUCUUGCUUUCCUUACAUUUAAAAGGAGCAGUAGUGAGUCUCUUAGAAGAGACCCAAAAAGCUGUAUCCAAAGCAAGCCAUUUAGAGGCACAGUGCGCAUUGUACAUCAGUCCCUACCUUGAGGGCUCAGUGCAAAGCCAUGCCAGUGCUGUAACAAGAACCUGAGGAGUCAACUCAUGCCUUGUCUAGGUAAUCUAACUCUUGUUGGCAGCAUACUACUCUAAAAUUUCUUAAAUUCUUAGUUACCUUUGUUUUCUAUGAGGUCCUCAACAUGCUUAAGCAUGAAAGCUUAGCCUUGUGCUGAAUUUUGGGGAAAAGAAACAAACAAAUGUGAUCCUUUGUCCUCACUUGCUACAAAGAUUUAUGAGUCCAUAACGAUGCUGGACGGAUAUAAAUUAAAAUAUUCCUGUGCCUGAAAUGUGUCUGUCCUUUCCAGUGGUUCUUAAUGAAUUCCUUUCAUCUUGGUAGAAUCUGUUCCUGUGACUUCUCCAUUUGAAUAACAAGUAAAAUAUAAAAAUUGUUGUGGGAGUUUAGACAGAACUGCACAAUAACCAGAUUAAAUCAAUACAUUCAUAAUAAAGAUGACUUACCUUGGGUAUUAAUUUUGAAUCUGCCUUGUUAGACAGCCAAGCUGAAUCUCUGCCUUUGAAAUAUUUAACCCAUGGUUACAGCAUUUAAAGUCUCAUUUUACUUUUAAUAUCUGACAUUGAUUAUUUUUCAAAAUGAAGUGGUAUUUUUAACCACUCAGUUAUAAUUUAUCUUUCCCUGUUCUGUUGAAUAUAUUGUAGGGUAAGCGUGGUAUGGAAUUGUCAAGCAGAGCCCAUGUAUUAAACAUGCGGCCUAAGUCUGUCAACUGGGGACUUCUAGACAUCUUCAAAACAUUUAAAAAAGCAAACAACAACAAAACCCACCAAACAAACCUUUGAGUAGUAUUCAAUAUCGUUUAUGACCUACUUAGUUGCUACCCUGGUGGAGAUAAAGGGAAGUUUUUUGCUUGCGGACAGCAGGUGAGCAGUAGCAGGCCCUGCUUGUCACCUUGCUCUCUUCUUUAGUCUCAUGCUUCGGACUAAGUUCUCCUGGGCAUACUGUCAAUACUUGUUCCCUUUACCUCUGUCCUAUGUCUGCUUCCCACAGUGUUAUGUCUUCUGUAUGCAUUUUGUUCCUUUUGAGAUCACACCGGCCCAGAGACACGAGGAUUGAAGAGGGAGUGUACAUGCUACCAAUAUCCAUAAAGCACCAAAGCCCUAAGGGAAGUAGAGAAAGGAGAAACAACAAAAUGGAAGUUUUUCACUGAUCUGUGGAGGGAUCUCUUGGGAACUUGGGUGAAAAGGAUUCUACAUCCUUCAGCCAGCCAAAGUGCUGUGUUGUUUUUGUUCUGCAAUUGCGUGGAGUAUCACAAAGCAAUGGAAACUGGGGAAGGUUCCACUGGAAUAUGGAUGAGUUUUUUGUUUUUUGGAGGCAUGACAGUAAGUUUUCAGUGAAGAACAGCAUUAGAAACUGAGAAACAUGUAGUCGUAUUUAAUCAAAGAUUCCAGUGGCAUAAAAUGGGCUUAUUUUUGUUGUUCUCUGUAUGUUCCCCCCAACGUUUGGAUAAUAUUACUCAUGCAAUUGUUUGUAUUGAGCUGCUGCUCGGAUUAAGAGCAUGAUACACAUCCUGAUCUGUGGAGGGUUAAAGGUCUUUGUUUCUAUUACAGAAGUCCAAAUGCAUUGUGUAGCUGGAAUAUGAUACUCUGGGCUGGUUUUAAUAAAGAGAUGCCUAAAAAUAAGAAAGAGAAUUAAAUCAAUGCUGAAGGUAGAAGGUGAGGAGGGAACAGAAAAAUCUCGCUGGUGGGAAUAAAUAGCUGCUUUCUUUAGGCCUUUCUUUAGGCAUUACAAAUCCACGUGGACUGGAUAAAAAAAGCCUUUCCUUGUUGUCACCUGCUGAGAGGAAGAACUUCAUCUUGAGAUCACAGAAGCUGUGGAGGCAUCUCCAGAUCGGUUGGCACCUUCCAAUUUCCCUUCCGUCUCGAAGUAGGGAGGUAGUGUAACUUGCUUCAGUCGCAGUGAUUUAUCACUAUUUGACACACAUUCUCUUUCUGGGUGUCACUUAAGAAUAGGGAAAGGCGUAUAUAUUUUUGGAAUGACCACUCUAGGAUCAUCUUAUAAAAUGCAGAGCACUAUCUGACCCAAGUACAGAAAUAGACUCCCCAAAACAGCUGCAGCCCUUUCCCUUUAUCAAAUCUUCUAUUUUAUGUAUUAUCCCUAUUAUAUUAUGGCCGUUCUCAGAUUUUUCAUUUCACAAGAUAAUGCAUUCUUAUGCUAAGCAGUUCAAAAUUACAAAGUAAGCAAAAAUUGGGGACACGAGUAAUUGUACAGCCAGAACCAGCCAUACUUUUAUGUUUAAAAAAAAAAAGUCUGUCAGCCUGUUAGCAUAUGGCAGAGCUCAUGCUGUGAAAUUCAUUUAAAACAGAGACAGUCAUUGUAUGUUAAUGAGGCUCUUUGCAUGUUCUCUUACUUCUUUGUGGCAUAACGCUCCCCAGCAUCCCCCUAAUCACUCCCCUUCCAGUCAGUUGGGUGCUGGGUUUUGAAGGUGCCGUCAGGGUUAAUAAAUUCCCCUUUGACUUUCAAAAGUAAUUUUUUUUUGUAAAUGUUAUCACAGCUGUGGAAUUAAUUCUUGCUGGUAUUCUCUGUGUGUGCAGGUGUGAUGCUACGAUUGGCUUAGGUGACUUGGUAAAUGAGGGCUACAGAAGAGGUGUCACCUUUUCAAGUCAUCAUCAGAGUUCCUUAAAGCAGGUUCAUAAGAAAGUAGCUGUAAGAAUAGUCACAGGGACACGAGAGAGAGGAGGGCUCCUGUCGAAGAUUUAUUUUCAUACCUAAACGCAAACAAGUAGCUGAAGUGUCAAUGGAGAUGCGUAUCAGUUGCUGACAGUUCUGUUUUUGCUGCUCGCUGUGCUCGUAUUUUCUGUGCUGUUGAUCCAUGUUGUCCUGAUAGACCUUGUAAGAAAGAGGGUAAGCACUCACUUUUGACACCACAGAAGGUUCAUCAGAAAACAAGAAUAAGCAGUGAUCAGCAAAGACUUCUCUACAGGAGCAAAUCUCUGUUGGCAUCUAUUCAAAAUGAGUUGCCAGUAGCAAAAGAAACGUGAAUCAAAGCUGUUGCUUUCAUCCAGAAUUUAAGAAAGUCUUCAACACUUGAAACCUUUUCUGCCUAGGAUUUUUCUUCCCUCUCUUAGGCUUCUUCUGUCAUGGAUUUUAAAACUGAAGGGAAUUAUAGGGAUAAUGAGUCAGACCACCUAUGUUCUACUUCUGGAAUUAAUUUCUGCACAUUCUUAGCAGCUGUUGCUUAGGUUGUACCUCUCUUUUCUUUCUUUUUUUUUUCUUUUUUUUUGUGGUGGUUCUUGUUUUUGUUUGUUUACUUGAUUUUUAUAAUGGUUGAUUAGCAAUUAGGUAUCACAACCCUUAGUAAGCACUUGCAGUGGCUAGAAACUAUCUCUGUUCAAAAAUAUGUUGCACACAAAAGCAGCAAUUGGACAAGUUUAAAAAUCAGAUAACCUGGAACUUUAUCAUUCCCUCUCUUGGUACCUUUUUUUGGGAUUGGAGAAGGAGCAAGGAGCCCAGCUGAUUUCACUACUGGGGAAUUAGUGCUCCAACCUGGUCUUCCAUAGCUCCUGAGGAGCCCCCUCCAAGGAGGGGGAGUUUUGGGAAUGGUGUGAGACCUCUCAACACAGUUGAUUUUACGUUAUGUUUAGCAUGUCCUGGGCUUGUUUUGAAUGCACAUUGCUUGGAAGUGUCCCAGCGGUGCUGUUAACUCCUCAGUUAACUCCUCAAAGUGUCAGUUAACUCCUCAAAGGCUUCUGCAAAGCUCUGGGUAUGGUCUAGGUUUUGCUUGGUUGUCCUCCACUGUUACCUUCAUUUUGAAAACUGACCCAAUUUCUGUUUUAUCACUUUGUUGCCUCAUGGGAUUUGAAAUCUUUGGGUUCUCUCACCCCUACCCCCUUUGAGUAGAGCAGGGACCUUUGUCUUGUGUGAACUAACACUUAAACUUCUGACAUGUCUAAAGGUUAGACACCUCCUCUUAUUUAGUUUGAUAAACAUCCUGCUUUUUAAAAAUGUUUGUGGGAAUUGUCUGAUCCUUUUGGUGACUGCAUUGCCUUCUGACAUGUUUAAUAGGGCUGGAGGGAGAAGGCAAGCCCCACCUUCAUUACAACCUAUAUCUAUAUAUCUGAUAGAGUCCUGAAAUUAAUUUCCGGUAGCUGAUCUGUGAACUUUUUCCACCAGGUUUUGAUUGGUGAGUGGAUGAAUCAGCUGAAUAGAUUUGGGUGACUGGUAGAUCUCGGUGAAACGAUAAAAGAAUUUCAUUUUCUUUUUCAUUUAAAUGUGAAUGAGCUGUUGGUACAGAUGUCACUCAAGAAUCCCUUUUGUUAUUUUAAUGAACCUGCUUUAAACCAUGCAGGAAAUUACAGGGCAUUUGUAAUUUAACUACUAUAGGUGAAUUUACAGCAGGAGAAAUUCAUCUCUCACAUCUAAUAAUAGAAUUAGAUAAUACUGGACAUAAGAGGCUAGAAAUGCGUCUUGGAGGCAUUUGUUUGUGGUAUAAUUUUCCCUCAAUUUUGGGAGCACAUAUUUUAGAUACCGUGUGAGGCUUGUUUGUCUAUUCCCCUCCCGUAUCAGAUACAAAGCUUUUUGUUGUUUUUUUACAGUAUUCUUAUGUGACUUUUGCCAUGGCUGCUAGGUAGACAUCUUCUGAACUUUCUUCGUUGUCUAUCUCUUCUUGCUAAUAGAACUUAAAAAGAUAAAAAAAAAUCAAAAAGAAAAAAAAAA